CACGCCUUAAGUUGUGUUACAGCAGCACACUUUAAGGUGUGUUACUGCAGCACGCCUUAAGGUGUGUUACUGUAGCACAUCUUAAGGCGUG
Non-coding RNA from Paramuricea clavata, 91 nucleotides. Lineage: Eukaryota; Metazoa; Cnidaria; Anthozoa; Malacalcyonacea; Plexauridae. The record is from the annotation of a GenBank genome assembly.